Acanthosepion pharaonis is the source of this 109-nucleotide non-coding RNA. The record is from the annotation of a GenBank genome assembly. NCBI's taxonomy places the organism in Eukaryota, Metazoa, Mollusca, Cephalopoda, Sepiida, Sepiidae.
UUAUGGCCAUAUCACAUUGAAACACCGGUUCUCGUACGAUCACCGAAAUUAAGCAACAUUGUGUAUGGUCAGCACCUACAUGACUGACUGCUUGGGAAUACCAGAUGCU